RNAcentral lists this microRNA (24 nucleotides) under Homo sapiens (human). Its description in RNAcentral is "hsa-miR-10394-5p". Lineage: Eukaryota; Metazoa; Chordata; Mammalia; Primates; Hominidae. The record is from miRBase by way of RNAcentral.
UCUGCAGGUCCUGGUGAACGCCAU